CUCAGCAACACGCUGCUUGAACCUGUGGUACUGGUCUAACACCUCCUGUCUUCUGUGCUGGAUUUCUUCCGCGGUUUCCAAAACCUUUGGUCCACUGCUUUCCACAGCCUGAAGUACACACAACAACUUUGUCAAGACCCAGCUUCAGGCAGUGGUUCCUGAGCCAUGUGAUACAACAUAUUUUCCAAAUUGCUGCCUUUGUAUUUCCUAUCAACUUUUAUUUGAAUAUAUAAAAACUAAAUAAAACCCAAGAAGAAAAUAUGAAGGGGCUUUGUAAAACUUCUAAGUAAUGACUUCUUGAGUCUGAAAAAAACCUGCAGGAACCACAAAAGACAAGUGGUAAUCAAGUUGAAAAGCCUCUGCACAGUCAAGAAAACAAUAAACAAAAUCCAAAGGAAACAUAUACAAGAGAAAGAAAUAAAUUAAAAUAUAUUUUUUUAUUUUUUAUGUCAAAAAAUAUAUUUGACAAAGCCAUAAAGUCAUACCAAUAUGACUGCCUAUACACAAGAUAGACAAGAAUGAUACCGGUAGUCACACCAAAGUGGAUGGGGAACUGACAAAGCCUCAGCCUAACAAAGAAUUACACACAACUAAGGAAUGUUGAGAGUGGGAAAAACAGUCCUCCCAGAAAAUGCACACAGUGCCAAGCCUCAGCUGCUCUCCAUGGCCCUUUCAUGACUUCAAAACUAGGACUACCUGGUGACUCUUAAACAUUAUCAAGUCCGACAACCUUGGCCACCGCUGGAACACAGCUUCUCUCUACUCUCAAAACACUUCCCAGAUUUCUCCUAAGUGACGCUGGUCUCUUCUUAACCACUGCUAAUAUGGGAGAUUAUUGGAAUGAUUUCCAGAAUACAGUCCAAUGAUGACUAGCCCUGAAGCGAAAGUCCAGAAAUCCAAUAGAUGAUCAGUUCCUCGAAGCUGGAUGUCUCAGCCGGUCUUCUUUAGAUGCUGGAAUCCAGAAAAGUAGGCUCCAGUGUCAGUGAAGGAAUGGAUUACUGGCAAGGUGAAGUCAAACAGGCAGAGACUGAAAAAAAUGCUUCCUUCUUCCAUUGCCCUCAUAUAGGCUUCCAGUGAAAGGUGUGACCCAGAUUAAAGGUGUACCUUCUAGCCUCAAGAUCCAGAUUAAAGGUCUCAAGUUCUGGACCACAAGUGUGCCCCUAUUUCUGGAUUGUAGUUCAUUCCAGAUAAAGUCAAGCUGAUGCCUAAGCAUAGCCAUCACAUAACCCAAGAGUUGAGGGUUGUCAUGUAGAAUUUGAAAUCUCUUUCACUGGCCAUUACCAGCUGCUAAUGAACUAUGGGUCACUGUUCAGUGAGUGCAGACCACUUCUAGUCAAGAACCAUUAUAGGAAGUCUCUGACUUGAAUAGCAGGUAUUGUAAAUUUCUGAACUCUAGCUAUUGGAGCCGCAAGCUUCAAGUUCUUAAGAUUGCAAGCUAUAAGCUUGUGGAGCUCAUAGUCAAGAUCAUGGGUCUCUGGAUUAUCCUCUGAAAACCAUGCCUUGGCUAUUUGUGAUUUGCAUCAUGAUAGAGCAAAUAGAACCCCAGUCAACUAAUCUCCCAGGUAAUAUAGUACCUCUCUAUUUUCACAAAGCAACAGUAUUAGAAAAUACUCCCUGGGUGGUUAAAGCAAAGCUUUUGGAGAAGGUUACCUCUGGAUUUGAAUUAUAGCUUAGCCUUUUGUAAAAAGUCACUUUACUGCUAUAAACCAAUUUUCUCUUUUAUAAUAGGAAUGAGAAAAAUGAAUAUUAUAAAUUACUCUUUAAAACACUGUAUUGGACACAAUUAAUAGAGUGCUUAAAAUCUAAAUGUGCAAUAAGUAGAAAAUUGCAUUUUUAGUUUCAAAAAUACAAAUACAAGUACGAAUUCAUAUUUUUAUUUAAUUUUUGCAAUAAUAUUGGGUUAAUAAAUGUAGUGAAAUUUUUGUUAAACAAAUAUGUCAAUAACUUGAAGUCAACAGAGAAUGUAUUAUUAGCUCCCAUUAUAUCCAUUCAGAAAGCAUGUUUCUUGAAUUCUGUAUACUCAUGAAGAUUAUAUUUACAAUGUAAUGUAUCAUUAAUGUCACCACACAACAAGUUUUAACUCCUACAUUCUCUCUAUUUUUUUCCAUGAGCUUGGAAUAGUUUGUGCUAAACACAUGUACACACACACACACACACACACACACACACAAAUGCGUGUGCGCACACACACAAAUAUACACAAGCAAGUUAAUGAAAGGGCUAUAAU
Non-coding RNA from Myodes glareolus (Bank vole), 2227 nucleotides. The record is from RefSeq and is a predicted model, not a curated record. Lineage: Eukaryota; Metazoa; Chordata; Mammalia; Rodentia; Cricetidae.